UACGGAGGGGGCUAGCGUUGUUCGGAAUUACUGGGCGUAAAGCGUACGUAGGCGGCUUUGUAAGUUAGAGGUGAAAGCCCAGAGCUCAACUCUGGAAUUGCCUUUAAGACUGCAUCGCUUGAAUCGUGGAGAGGUUAGUGGAAUUCCGAGUGUAGAGGUGAAAUUCGUAGAUAUUCGGAAGAACACCAGUGGCGAAGGCGACUAACUGGACACGUAUUGACGCUGAGGUACGAAAGCGUGGGGAGCAAACAGGAUUAGAAACCCCCGUAGUCC
Molecule: ribosomal RNA, 273 nt
Filed under: uncultured bacterium
Lineage: Bacteria
Description: partial 16S ribosomal RNA
Rfam family: Bacterial small subunit ribosomal RNA
Source: RNAcentral